RNAcentral lists this ribosomal RNA (527 nucleotides) under uncultured bacterium. Its description in RNAcentral is "bacterial SSU rRNA". It matches the Rfam family "Bacterial small subunit ribosomal RNA", at positions 841 to 1366 of the family's 1533-position model. The record is from RNAcentral.
UGGUGCCGAAGUUAACACAUUAAGCAUUCCGCCUUGGGGAGUACGGUCGCAAGACUGAAACUCAAAGGAAUUGACGGGGACCCGCACAAGCAGUGGAGUAUGUGGUUUAAUUCGAAGCAACGCGAAGAACCUUACCAGGUCUUGACAUCCCUCUGAAUCCACUAGAGAUAGUGGCGGCCUUCGGGACAGAGGAGACAGGUGGUGCAUGGUUGUCGUCAGCUCGUGUCGUGAGAUGUUGGGUUAAGUCCCGCAACGAGCGCAACCCUUGAUCUUAGUUGCCAGCACUUUGGGUGGGCACUCUAGGAUGACUGCCGGUGACAAACCGGAGGAAGGUGGGGAUGACGUCAAAUCAUCAUGCCCCUUAUGACCUGGGCUACACACGUACUACAAUGGCCGAUACAACGGGAAGCGAAACCGCGAGGUGGAGCCAAUCCUAUCAAAGUCGGUCUCAGUUCGGAUUGCAGGCUGCAACUCGCCUGCAUGAAGUCGGAAUUGCUAGUAAUCGCGGAUCAGCAUGCCGCGGUGAA